GGGUUAAGUCCCGCAACGAGCGCAACCCUUGUCAUUAGUUGCUACGAAAGGGCACUCUAAUGAGACUGCCGGUGACAAACCGGAGGAAGGUGGGGAUGACGUCAGGUCCUCAUGGCCCUUAUGGGUAGGGCUACACACGUCAUACAAUGGCCGGUACAGAGGGUUGCCAACCCGCGAGGGGGAGCCAAUCCCAGAAAACCGGUCGUAGUCCGGAUCGCAGUCUGCAACUCGACUGCGUGAAGUCGGAAUCGCUAGUAAUCGCGGAUCAGCUUGCCGCGGUGAAUACGUUCCCGGGUCUUGUACACACCGCCCGUCACACCAUGGGAGCGGGUUCUGCCAGAAGUAGUUAGCCUAACCGCAAGGAGGGCGAUUACCACGGCAGGGUUCGUGACUGGGGUGAAGUCGUAACAAGGUAGCCGUAUCGGAAGGUGCGGCUGGAUCACCUCCUUU
Molecule: ribosomal RNA, 450 nt
Filed under: uncultured bacterium
Lineage: Bacteria
Description: bacterial SSU rRNA
Rfam family: Bacterial small subunit ribosomal RNA
Source: RNAcentral